CCUACGGGGGGCAGCAGUGGGGAAUAUUGGACAAUGGGCGAAAGCCUGAUCCAGCCAUGCCGCGUGUGUGAAGAAGGCCUUCGGGUUGUAAAGCACUUUCAGUGGGGAAGAAAGCCUUGGGGCUAAUACCCUCGAGGAAGGACAUCACCCACAGAAGAAGCACCGGCUAACUCCGUGCCAGCAGCCGCGGUAAUACGGAGGGUGCGAGCGUUAAUCGGAAUUACUGGGCGUAAAGCGCGCGUAGGCGGUCUGAUAAGCCGGUUGUGAAAGCCCCGGGCUCAACCUGGGAACGGCAUCCGGAACUGUCAGGCUAGGGUGCAGGAGAGGAAGGUAGAAUUCCCGGUGUAGCGGUGAAAGGCGUAGAGAUCGGGAGGAAUACCAGUGGCGAAGGAGGCCUUCUGGACUGACACUGACGCUGAGGUGCGAAAGCGUGGGUAGCAAACAGGAUUAGAUACCCCAGUAGC
This 464-nucleotide ribosomal RNA is filed under the name Vreelandella stevensii. RNAcentral's name for it is "partial 16S ribosomal RNA". It matches the Rfam family "Bacterial small subunit ribosomal RNA", at positions 338 to 794 of the family's 1533-position model. The record is from RNAcentral. Lineage: Bacteria; Pseudomonadati; Pseudomonadota; Gammaproteobacteria; Oceanospirillales; Halomonadaceae.